Molecule: unclassified non-coding RNA, 2032 nt
Filed under: uncultured fungus
Lineage: Eukaryota; Fungi
Description: sequence contains 18S rRNA gene, ITS1, 5.8S rRNA gene, ITS2, 28S rRNA gene
Rfam family: Eukaryotic large subunit ribosomal RNA (bases 1000-2032)
Source: RNAcentral
AGCUGGAUCAUUUUUCCGAUUUUCAAAAAAUCAAAAAAACCCAGUAUUUCUCAUCCCUUUUCAUAUGGGGGAAAACAACUUUUUUUGUGUGUUUGAAUUUUUUUCAGUUGAAGAUAUGGUUUAUUUUUCGUUUCUCUGCGCCACGAAACGGAUUCACCGAAUUCUUGGUCAACGAAGUUUCUGUGUGUGCGCCUCGCCUGCAAAAUUGGCGUGGGCGGAUUUCGGCGAUUUUUCCAUUUUGGUGUUUGCAUCAAAGUGGAGAGACUCUGCGUCCGGUACUCGGACAGAGGUUCCAAAGCUGACGUCUUGCUCAAGAGCGUGUGCACAUGAAAAUCGUUGGGCUUGGUUUGCUGAGCUGUGGAUACCAGAUCAAAAAAGGAAGGAAAAAGAAAUCAUUUUUGACAACAUUGUGAAGGAGGAAAACCCCACAUAUACAGAGUUGGAGAAAAAACUGAACAAAAAACAAAACCAAUUUGCCGCCCAACUACGGUUGACGACGGCUCCAACAACGUGUCGCGAUGGAUGACUUGGCUUCCUAUUUCGUUGAAGAACGCAGCAAAGUGCGAUAAGUGGUAUCAAUUGCAGAACCUAUCAAUUACCGAAUCUUUGAACGCAAACGGCGCUUGGAAGAAGACAUUCGUGUUCAACUCCGAGCAUGCCAUGCCUCAGUGUCGAACAAAAACCAAAAAAAUAUUAAAAAGCAGAAUCUGCGCUUGAUACGAAAAAAAUCCCUUUUUUUCAAGUCGGCGUGGUGGCUCUUCUGUUUGUGCUUGCAUUCUGUGGGCGCGAUAACGAGCAAAUCACUUUUUCUGCUGCUUUUCCUUUUUUUUUUCUUUCUUUUGAUCUCGUCCGCGGGAAAAAAAGAUCAAAAAAAAAAGAAAAGUGGGCCUCUAUUUCUCAAGUUCAGAUUUUGAAAAAAAAAGAACCAAAACAAUUGUUGAAGUUUAUUUUUUUGCUGGCUUGAAAAAGAGUUAAAAAAUUUUUUACAUUUCGGUUCACUGACCUGAGCGUGGCAGGACUACCCGCCGAACUUAAGCAUAUUAUUCAGCGGAGGAAAAGAAAACAACCGUGAUUCUCUCAGUCAGGGGCGACCGAAGAGGGACCGGACUCGUUGCCGAAUCAGGGCCUCAAACGGUUCUGAGCUGUGGCAUAAGUGCUGUUUGUGGUUGGUUUUACCGGACUGGCGAAAUUCAAUGUGCAAAGCAGACCCGUUGCUGGACACAACCUCUCAUGUGAGUAUUGGGCCCUAGAUCGGUGUUAGCCCGUUGAGCCAGAAGCCGGGGCCUCAUGGACAGUAACAAGCGAGUAGCACUGCUUGGGAAUGCAGUGUGAAGCGGCAGGUAUGUGUCUGCCAAAGUUAAAUACAGAGUAGGAAGACCGAUAGCGAACAAGUAGCGUGAGCGAAAGUUUGAAAAGCACUUUGGAAAGAGAGUGACAUAGAACCUGAAGUCGUGACAACGACAAUGGACGCGCCUCCAUUACAUUUCGGUCAAGGCCGACCACCUAAGCAUUUCUCCUGCUCGAACUCGUAGAGAUCUUGUGGGUAAAUAAAGUGCAGAACAGGGGUACCGGUUAAGCGAGCGGAAAUAAAGGGCCGGAAGUCGGAGUGGAUGGUCCCCAAAAGGGACUCGGAUUAAAAACCCCACUGCUCCGCGAGACGGUUUCUUUUCCGUGAUGCUCGGAACUUGACGCUGAGAAUGGGGUGCCUCCACCCGUCUUGAAACACGGACCAAGGAGUCAAACAAACGCGCAAGGGAGAGGAUUUUACACAAGUACCAUCUCUCGUACUGAAAGGGAGGUCGCAAGACCAAUGGUGUGCACACAACACGAAUGCCCAACACCGGCCGGCCCGUACGCGGGUUGAGCUCGAGUGUGCCUGUUUGGACCCGAAAGGUGGUGAACUAUGCCUGAACAAGGUGAAGCCCGGGGAAACCCAGGUGGAGGCCUGUAGCGAUGCUGACGUGCAAAUCGCUCGCAUGAUUUGGGUAUCGGAGCGAAAGACUCAUCGAACCACCUAGUAGCUGGUUCACAU